GACGAACGCUGGCGGCGUGCUUAACACAUGCAAGUCGAACGGAAAGGCCCUGCUUUUGUGGGGUGCUCGAGUGGCGAACGGGUGAGUAACACGUGAGUAACCUGCCCUUGACUUUGGGAUAACUUCAGGAAACUGGGGCUAAUACCGGAUAGGAGCUCCUGCUGCAUGGUGGGGGUUGGAAAGUUUCGGCGGUUGGGGAUGGACUCGCGGCUUAUCAGCUUGUUGGUGGGGUAGUGGCUUACCAAGGCUUUGACGGGUAGCCGGCCUGAGAGGGUGACCGGCCACAUGGGGACUGAGAGACGGCCCAGACUCCUACGGGAGGCAGCAGUGGGGAAUAUUGCACAAUGGGCGGAAGCCUGAGGCAGCAACGCCGCGUGCGGGAUGACGGCCUGCGGGUUGUAAACCGCUUUCGCCUGUGACGAAGCGUGAGUGACGGUAAUGGGUAAAGAAGCACCGGCUAACUACGUG
RNAcentral lists this ribosomal RNA (468 nucleotides) under uncultured bacterium. Its description in RNAcentral is "partial 16S ribosomal RNA". It matches the Rfam family "Bacterial small subunit ribosomal RNA", at positions 28 to 507 of the family's 1533-position model. The record is from RNAcentral.